This 955-nucleotide unclassified non-coding RNA is filed under the name Hevea brasiliensis (rubber tree). Lineage: Eukaryota; Viridiplantae; Streptophyta; Magnoliopsida; Malpighiales; Euphorbiaceae. The record is from RNAcentral.
GCCCAGGGGAGGUCAGGGAUGUAUCGUAUAACUGCUUAACAAGCACUUUUGGUGAGCCCAGGGGAGGUCAGGGAUGUAUCGUAUAACUGCUUAACAAGCACUUUUGGUGAAGCAAGGAACCGAGUCAUAAAACAAGCAUCAUGCUAAAAUUGAUUGUUUAAUUCUCAUGAUCUUUUAAUAAAAAAAGAGAAGAAAAAAAAUUAUUAAUGUGUUCAUGAAAACCUUACUUCUAGAGAAGUCCAAGUUUUCAUUUAGCCCAAGGAUUCCCAAUUGAAAAGAUCGCAUUUUCUUUUCUCUUCCAUUUUUCUUGUAGCAUUAACUACUCAUUUCUAAGUUCUAGCUCCUAUUAACAUCACCAGCAAUACAGCAUGAAUGAUUUGUCGCCAGAAUUUGAAUGUAUUUUUCAGGACAACUUAUUUCCACCACAAUUGCUGUAGCUCAAUGGGUAAACAAGUCAAAUGGAGUUGGAUGAGAACCCAACUUCACAAAGGAUGCUACCAUUGGCAUGAUUAGGUAUAGUUGUUUGUUGUUUUAUAGGUCUUUAUUCUUAAACUUUCAUUCUUUUUAGCUUUUUCCAUAUUCUUUGAUAUAUCAGCAACCCACAGAAUUCACUUCUAUGCAUCAAGUCAACUCAAAAAAAGAACUGAUAAAAAAAAACCACUUUUUAUCUUUAAAAAAUAACAAUAGAUUCAAGAGAAAAAGAUAUAAUUCCAUUGCACUAAGAACAACAAUAUAUUCAUGGUACCAAUCUAACAACGAAGGAAUGCAAAACUUGUUGAUCAAAUUCAUCCAAAAGCAGCAAAUAAACCAGAAAAUCAAGAUUCAUGCAUUGCCAUAAACAAGCAUAGAAAGAGAAGUAAAGCAAAGUAAACCAGAAAAUUGAGCAUUAGAUUAGGCAAAAAAUUGGAAAAGGAAAGAAACAGUACCUUAUGCCACUGGAGCUUGAAGAAGACAG